Molecule: ribosomal RNA, 292 nt
Filed under: uncultured bacterium
Lineage: Bacteria
Description: partial 16S ribosomal RNA
Rfam family: Bacterial small subunit ribosomal RNA
Source: RNAcentral
GUGUCAGCAGCCGCGGUAAUACGAAGGGUGCAAACGUUGCUCGGAAUCAUUGGGCGUAAAGCGCACGUAGGCGGCUCCGCAAGUCGGAUGUGAAAUCCCUCGGCUCAACCGAGGACGUGCAUCCGAAACUGCAGAGCUUGAGUAUGGAAGAGGGUCGCGGAAUCCCCGGUGUAGAGGUGAAAUUCGUAGAUAUCGGGGGGAACACCAGUGGCGAAGGCGGCGACCUGGGCCAAUACUGACGCUGAGGUGCGAAAGCGUGGGGAGCAAACAGGAUUAGAUACCCCGGUAGUCC